RNAcentral lists this transfer RNA (67 nucleotides) under Paraneotermes simplicicornis. RNAcentral describes it as "tRNA-Asn". Lineage: Eukaryota; Metazoa; Arthropoda; Insecta; Blattodea; Kalotermitidae. The record is from RNAcentral.
UUAGAUGAAACCAAAGAAGAGGUAUAUCACUGUUAAUGAUAAAAUUGAACAAUUAAUUCCAUCUAAG